CACCGCUGGUGCACCAGUUGUUCCGCCAGGAGCACAGCUGGGUAGCCAUGUGCGGACGGGAUAAGCGCUGAAAGCAUCUAAGCGUGAAGCCCCCCUCAAGAUGAGAUUUCCCACAGCGUAAGCUGGUAAGACCCCUUAUAGAUGAUGAGGUGGAUAGGUUCGAGGUGGAAGCGUGGCAACACGUGGAGCUGACGAAUACUAAUCGGUCGAGGGCUUAACCAA
This 222-nucleotide ribosomal RNA is filed under the name Aneurinibacillus thermoaerophilus. RNAcentral's name for it is "23S rRNA. Bacterial LSU". It matches the Rfam family "Bacterial large subunit ribosomal RNA", at positions 2704 to 2925 of the family's 2925-position model. The record is from RNAcentral. Lineage: Bacteria; Bacillati; Bacillota; Bacilli; Caryophanales; Paenibacillaceae.